This 1369-nucleotide long non-coding RNA is filed under the name Betta splendens (Siamese fighting fish). RNAcentral's name for it is "lncRNA (ENSBSLG00000012586.1)". Lineage: Eukaryota; Metazoa; Chordata; Actinopteri; Anabantiformes; Osphronemidae. The record is from RNAcentral.
CUCAGCCAUUGAGUAAUACCAGUGCAUAUAUAUAUAUAUAUAUAUUGUUUUGCUCAGUGAGCAUUCAAGUAAGUCGCAAGUAAACACUACUUGUGCGAUACUAUUCUAGCUGUUGUGAAAACCUUACAAAUAAGGAUGAGUAACAAGAGCUCCCCUGGGUCAGGGAGUCUGGACUUCCAAGGUGUUGUUGCAGGACUUGUCAGAAUAUCCACGAAAGAUCUAGAGCGCCUUAACAAGUAUACUGUCGCAGAGUGUGAGGGAGAAAUGCACAGGCUGAUGUCGGUCGUGAGUCAACCCACGGGAGAAACCCGCCUGACUCAAGAGGUAGUGGGCCAGCUGGCAUUGCUGUGCCAUCAGAAAGCCCAAAUGGAGUCCGCAGAAUCUGCUGAGAAGAUCGCGGCCCUACACAGUAGCUACUUAGCUGAGCAAAAGACCGUCACCCAUCUAGAGCAUAGCUUAGAGGUAAUGAAAAGGGAACUGGAACAACUCGAGGAGAGCUAUAAGAGGUUGCAGCGAGACCAUGACAUACCACCUAGGUCCCGAACAGUUCACCAGGAGGAGGUAGGAGAUAGGAAUGAAAAUCAGUGCAGACAAGUAGGUAUGGCAGCUCAGUCAAGUGACCAAGAGCUGGACAAACCUGGUCCUGGGAGUGAGACUUUCCGCGGCCUAGAGGCCCCAAAGUCAGCCCCCGCAAACCGGACCGAUCUAGCACAAAGAGAGCCACGUGGGUCCUUUGGAGAAGCGACCCCAGCUCACGCCCAAAAGGGCACUCAUUCAAACUCUUUCCUCACUACUGACACCCCAGUCUACUACGCGUCGACCAUAGCCCAUGGUAGCGUAGUCAGGGGAACAGGAAGACUGAACAGGGACAGGUAUGCACCCGUGGAUACGCCAAUCCACAGAAAUGCACUCCCGAGUUACCCCCAUCCAGAGCCACACCUCGAAGACCAGAGAUGGCAAGGUCCUAGUAGAGAAACCUACUUUAAGCCUGAGCCCACUAAUGGUAGAUAUGAGCCACUGCCACCCAGUGGGGGAUACCCUCCUCGCAACGGCCCCCCCCAAGCUCUCACCCAGUCCCUUACUACGGGGGCGACUCAAGCUCAGAGGACUCUGACAUUGUGAACCCUGUCCCAAGGCAGGAGAUACGCACAUGCCAACUCGAAUCUAUGGCUAAGGACAUUGAGCGCUUUGAUCCCAGUGACAGGGAGUCCACCAUAGAUGACUAUCUGCGGGAAGUUGAGCGGUGCCUCCUGGACUGCUGAAGCUGAUCUGGAAGACCACGGCUAGAAGUGUGCAUAGUUUUAUAGAAACCCUUCCCUGCAGCACACGUGACAGUUACCCAAGGCUCUGUGAUGCCCUUAGGGAAGAG